GGAGAGAUCCAAGUUCUAAAUCCUAAGUGUCUGCCAGAGAAAGAGGGUCAAUGCCCAGCUCCAGUGGAACAGCUGGUCCCUUUUCCUCCCUCCACAGAGAGCUCGCAUUAGCCAGCCCAGAAAGGAGAGAAUAGGCUAUGCUGUUGCACUGGGGGCUGGCCCGCUGAGUAAAGCCAAGUGAAGGAUUUGAAAAGAGCGUGGAAAUCCUUCUCAAUACAACCCCAGUGGUUCCCAUCAGAAUCGCUGGGAAAAUGGGAUGAAGCCAGUAUCCCCCCUCAGCACCAAGGACGAAGGCUACAAAGGGUGGUACCAGCCUCACCCCGUCCCAAGCCACAGGGCGCCUAGGCUUCCUCCCAUUGGCUCUUGAGAAUGUCCUUAGGUUGGCCCUGGACUCCCUUUCUUUCCUCUGAGACCAACACUUCAGACCACAUCUGUUUGAGGCUCCAAAAUAAGGGCAAGGCUGGCCGUGUGGACUGACCAACCAGUCCGUUCUCGCUGCUUUCCCUUCAUGCCAACUCCACCCCUUUCCCAGCAAAUGCCCCUUGGAAAGGCUCCGGUGCCCUUGUUUGCACUGAGGUGAAUGGAGUCUUGCUACGGGGCUAUGUGGGCAUCGUUUGAUCCCAUCUCCCUCCCAGACGGGCGAAGUGUGAGCGUGUAAGAGUCAAUGCAAGCACAUAGCCCUGAACUCCUUGUCAAGUUUUAGAAUUGGCUAAAGGGGGAAAGGAAAAUGCUGGGUCUUCUGCCCCCCACCCUUGCAUUUGGGAUUCCUUCAGGAAAGAGAGUAAUAAGGACAAAACAGAGCUCCCACGGGCCUCAAGAUAUCUCACAGCGAAGACUGGCCCCAGCUAAAGUGCCAUCUUCUUUCCUCAGCUCCACAUCAACUGGUCACUGCUUCCUGCCACACCGAAGGACCAAAAACACUGAGACUGAGUACCUUUCUGUUUUAUCCAUCAUGUUCCUUCAUCUACUCCCAUGUUUUUUUCAGUCUACCUUCCCUCUCUGUCCCCCAUGCACCUCGGGGGUCCAGUCCAUCUGAAUUAAAUCGCCAUCUGGGUCCUACUUUUAUCCUUUUUCUUUUGAGAGCCUUUCUCCUUCUGCAGGCCCACAUCCAACCCAUCUGUCCAGACACCUUGAAAACUGCCUUCCAGAGUCUUCUCUCUGUCUCUUUGUCUCUGUGUGUCUCUCUGUGUAUGUCUCUGUGUGUCUCUGUGUGUCUCUCUCUGUCUUCCUGUCUCUCUAUCUCUCUCUUGUCUCCCUCUCAACCCUGAGAGAACCCUUGAGUGUCUUACUGUUAACUUUCCCUCUCGUUCUGGGUUGUUGGUGCAGAGCGAGUAUUCCCUCGUACGCCCCGCCCCCAAGGCUCAAGCUCUCAGAUCUGAGGCAUCCCUCUUUGAGGUUCCCCUUCCUCCAAAACACUCCUCCAGCGCCCAGGAUGUAGUACCUGUGCUGAAUCAGUGAAGGGAGACGGUGAUACAGUCUGGAGUCCCGGCUCUGACACGACAUUAUUUCAUAGGCUCCAGCUUAAACACAGAUGGAAAAGAUUCUGGCUUUGUAAUAAGAGAUGGAUUAUGGUGGGCCCACCCCGCUGCUCUGUGCCUGCCCUCUGGAUGCUUCCGGGGGAAAAUGUGAUGACCAUGUCGGUGGGCAAGAAGAAAGUAUGGCUGAAAAGAAGGAAGGAGGGGGGAACGCACGGUAUUGUCUACAUGACUAUGCUGUUUGUAUAUGUGCAUUCACACCACAGCACAAAGAGAACUUGCAGGAGUCAGUUCUCUCCUUCCAACUUAUGGCUUCUAGGGAUUGAACUCAGGUCCUCAAGCUCGGUGGUAAACUGCCUUUACUUGUUCUGCCAGUUGACGGUGAGAGGUGGUUGCUUGGUGAUGUGAAUUUCUCAUGCAAUCAAGAGGCAGCAGGGCCUGAAGCCUGAAGCCAAAUGUAGCUUUGACGGUAUAGUGCAUCCAAGACGGCAGCAUCUACAUCCUCUUUCCUCUGCCUCAGAUGGAAUGGAUGGAGCACAUGGGAUAUGCUUAAGCAUAAUUUUUAUUGUCAUGUGGCCUUUCUUAUGGCUGUCUUGACUCUCACUGAGGAAUCAAACUCCUAACAUGAUGAUUAGCCUACCCCGCAGGAGUAUUGUUUGUUUGUUUGUUUUCUUAGGCAGGGUUUCUUUGUGUAACCACCCUGGCUGUCCCGGAACUCACUCUGUAGACCAGACUGGCCUCAACCUCACAGAGAUCCGUCUGCCUCUGCCUCCCAAGUGCUGGAAUUAAAGGAGUACGUCGCCACCACUCAGCCCACGCUGAGUGUUCUAAGACCCCAGGUAGAAACCAAAAGCCUUUUAUGACCUAUACUCAGAAGGCAUGUAGCAUCAUGGUCACUGCUUCUGUGGGUUCAAAGUAAGUCACAGGGACAACCCAGAUUUAAAGGAGUGGACCACCCAAGUGGCUAAUAGCAAGAAGUAACUCAUUGCUGGGGGCGGGGUUGAGGGGGUUGUCUUUGCAGACCAAUUACCCAUGUCUGAUCCCAAUGAAUCACCUUCCUCUAAUGUGCAAAUCCACCUGCCCACCAAGAACCCCCAAGGUCAUUAAACAGUCUCGGACUCAAGUUCCAAAACCAAGACUUAAGCAUCUAAGUGGGGUAUAGGUGCACACGCGACCCUUCAGGCAUGGUUCUUCUUGGUCCUAAGGUUUGUGAGCUAAGUAAGAGACAAGUUAUUUUCCCACAUUCAACACCCAACAGUGGGGCCGGCAGGCACAGUGGAAACGUAGUGGGUGUUCGUCUCCCAAAGAGAAGAGCAGGCCUGCAACCCAGCUACACACACGACACCAACUCCUUCAUUAGGUCUACUUUCUCUCUUCCAGAAGUGUUUUCCUGGUUCCAAACCCUUCAUUAUUGUGCUGGUUAGCUUUUCGUCAACCUGACCCAGGCUGGCGUCAUCUCUGCAGAUGGAAUCUCCACGUAGGAAUUGCCUCCAUCAGACUGGCCCAUAGACAAGCCUGCAGGCACUUUCUUGACUAAUAGUUGACCUGGAAAGGCCCAGCCCACUGUGGGCAGUGCCACCCCCCCCAGGGAACGUGGUCCUGGAUUGUAAGGAAACAGGCUGAGCAAGCCACGGGGACGGGACGAGCAUUCCUCCAAGGUCCCUGCUUCAUUUCACAUCAGGGUCCUGCCUUGCUUGAGUUCCUACCCUGGCUUUCCUCGGUGAUGGACUGGACUGGACUCAAGGUGUCUAUGCCAAGUAAAUCCUCUCUUCUCCAAGCUGCUUUGGGGAAGAGAGCAAACUAGGACAAUUGUCCUCCCUUUUCAUAAGAAAUCACUAAUCGCUGCCUCCAAGAGGCUUCUUUAUUUGAGCUAUAUGUCUUUCGGUCCAACUUGUAGAAUUAUUUUUAAAACUGCGGGCUUCCCUUUUUUCCCCCUCAAUUUUAACUAUGUGUAAAUGUGUGGAGGGGCAUCUGCCCACGAGUGCAGUACCAUGGAGGCCAGAAGAGAGUAGACGAUGCCCCGCAUCUGGAGAAACCAGAGGCCAUGAGAUGCCCAAUGUGAGUGAUGGGAAAGGAACUCGGAUCCUCUACAAGACCAUAAACACUCUUAACCUCCGAGCCAUCUCUCUAGCUCCUGUAAGCGUUUAUAUAUCACAUUCUAACUUCCUCCAUUAGGCAAAAGCCACAACCAUUUAUUUAUUUACUUUAGGGCUUAUCUUGACUUAAGCCACCAGGAAGGGGCCCGUUGAAGUCCUUAGAAGCCAUGCUGUCCAGUAGAGCUAAGACAGUAUCUGCAAGGUCUUCAGAAGCCUUGCUGUCUACCCAUGAGGCCUCCAAGACAUGCCCUUGAGUGUUACUGAGGCAUUACUGAAGGAUUUACAGCCACACCCUUGGCUUCCUCUGCAUCUCAGCCCACAAUUUACUGGCAGCACCCCGACUUGUGCCUUUGCCCUGAAGCCUGUUCUUCUGUUGAGAGCCUUCAGCUGGAGCAGCAUGACUACCUCCUUAUAUUUCCUCAGUUCUGCUCCAAAGUGGAACAGCGCCUUCCUUAGUUCACGGUCAUGACUCUUCCGCUCGACAAAGUCAGCUCGGAGAAGCUCCAGGGCCCUUUCACUGCGUCGCUUGGAAAUUGCUUUAGACAGGAUGCUCUCUCCUGCCAUGUCAGUGAAGGCCAUGGCCUCACAUCGGCCAGUGAUGAUCUCAGGCGUCCUUUGCUCAGAUUUCCUCCUGGGUCCCAGGACUCCAACCAUGUUCUCCUCAACGUUCCUCAGCUUCUGCUUUCUGAAGACCCCAAAGCAAAGGCCGCAGGUUUCCGUCCUCUCUCUCUCCAUUCACCACAUCCAGUCUAGAGGUACUGGCCUUCCCAAGAAUGCCCCAGAGAACACUUCAUUGUUUCAGUCCUGUGUACUCCUUCCCCAGUGAGUGAGUCUGAGCUGGCCUGUGACUCAUGCUAACAAAUGGAAUGUGCUGGAAAUAAGUUGCUUAAGUUUGGAAGCGCUCUUUCAGAAUACUGCCAGCUCCCCCCUUUCCCUUUCCUAAGCACUCACUUCUGGGAGUCGUGAGCACCUUGCAAGACUUCCAGCUACCUCACUGGAGAAGCCAGUUGCUCCAUUACAGAGAGGUCCACAGACAUCCUGGGGAGAGGGAAAAGGCCAGUGCUGCCUGCCUUCAGUCCAGCCAGCCUCCUAUGAUCCCAGACACCCUUCCCUAACCACGAUCGCCUGAGACUCCCAAGCAAGAACAGUGGCAGAUGCCCUCCCUGAUAAGCCCACUGGGCUCCCAGCACCACAAGAGAUAAAUAGUGAUGGUUAUUCUGGUUUUGUUUCAAAUUCCAA
Peromyscus californicus insignis is the source of this 4810-nucleotide long non-coding RNA. RefSeq lists it as uncharacterized. The record is from RefSeq and is a predicted model, not a curated record. NCBI's taxonomy places the organism in Eukaryota, Metazoa, Chordata, Mammalia, Rodentia, Cricetidae. The transcript is spliced from 5 exons.